RNAcentral lists this ribosomal RNA (440 nucleotides) under uncultured bacterium. Its description in RNAcentral is "partial 16S ribosomal RNA". It matches the Rfam family "Bacterial small subunit ribosomal RNA", at positions 338 to 795 of the family's 1533-position model. The record is from RNAcentral.
CCUACGGGGUGCAGCAGUAGGGAAUAUUGCUCAAUGGGGGAAACCCUGAAGCAGCAACGCCGCGUGGAGGAUGAAGGUUUUCGGAUCGUAAACUCCUUUUGUCAGAGAAGAUAAUGACGGUAUCUAACGAAUAAGCACUGGCUAACUCCGGGCCAGCAGCCGCGGUAAUACGGAGGGUGCAAGCGUUACUCGGAAUCACUGGGCGUAAAGGGCGCGUAGGCGGGAUAGCAAGUCAGAUGUGAAAUCCUAUGGCUUAACCAUAGAACUGCAUUUGAAACUGUUAUUCUAGAGUAUGUGAGAGGUAGGUGGAAUUCUUGGUGUAGGGGUAAAAUCCGUAGAGAUCAAGAGGAAUACUCAUUGCGAAGGCGACCUGCUAGAACAUAACUGACGCUGAUGCGCGAAAGCGUGGGGAGCAAACAGGAUUAGAUACCCUAGUAGUC